Molecule: ribosomal RNA, 446 nt
Filed under: uncultured bacterium
Lineage: Bacteria
Description: bacterial SSU rRNA
Rfam family: Bacterial small subunit ribosomal RNA
Source: RNAcentral
CUACGAGACUACGCUGGCGGUAUGCCUUAUACAUGCAAGUCGAACGGUAAGGUCCUUCGGGAUACACGAGUGGCGGACGGGUGAGUAACACGUAGGAAUAUGCCCUUAGAUGGGGGACAACUCGGAGAAAUUCGAGCUAAUACCCCAUAUGUCGAAAGAUGAAAGAUUUAUCGUCUAAGGAGUAGCCUGCGCUUGAUUAGCUAGUUGGUGGGGUAAAAGCCUACCAAGGCGACGAUCAAUAGCUGGUUUGAGAGGAUGACCAGCCACAAUGGGACUGAGAUACGGCCCAUACUCCUACGGGAGGCAGCAGUAGGGAAUUUUGCGCAAUGGAGGAAACUCUGACGCAGCAAUACCGCGUGUAGGAAGACGCUCUGUGGAGUGUAAACUACUGUCGGGUGGGAAGAAUUUUGACGGUACCACCAAAGGAAGCACCGGCUAACUCUGUG